RNAcentral lists this transfer RNA (73 nucleotides) under Dicranema revolutum. RNAcentral describes it as "tRNA-Arg". It matches the Rfam family "tRNA". From Rfam's summary of the family: Transfer RNA (tRNA) molecules are approximately 80 nucleotides in length. Their secondary structure includes four short double-helical elements and three loops (D, anti-codon, and T loops). Lineage: Eukaryota; Rhodophyta; Florideophyceae; Gigartinales; Dicranemataceae. The record is from RNAcentral.
GGGCAUGUAACUCAGUGGACAGAGUACUGGAUUCCGAUUCCAGCAGUCGAAGGUUCAAAUCCUUCCUUGCUCA